GGAAGGUUUCCCUGCCACACUUGAAGACAUAGAAAUCCGCAGCUGCCAUCUUCUGAGUAAAAGGUUAAAUCAGAAGUGAGACUAUUGGCCCCUAAUUGCCCAUAUUCCCCGCGUUGAGGUAGAUGGUGCUCGCAUCCAUGAAAUGAAAAGGGAAGAAGAAAAUCAUCUAUUUCACUUCAAUUGGCUUCGAAGAACUAUUGAUGAGUAGUAGUUUAUCAUAUUACUGGCACCAAAAAAUUGUGAAGCACUUAAAAUUUCUUGCUUGUUUCUUAGUG
RNAcentral lists this unclassified non-coding RNA (275 nucleotides) under Hevea brasiliensis (rubber tree). Lineage: Eukaryota; Viridiplantae; Streptophyta; Magnoliopsida; Malpighiales; Euphorbiaceae. The record is from RNAcentral.